AGCGAACGCUGGCGGCAGGCCUAACACAUGCAAGUCGAACGGAUCCUUCGGGAUUAGUGGCGGACGGGUGAGUAACACGUGGGAACGUGCCCUUUGGUUCGGAACAACUCAGGGAAACUUGAGCUAAUACCGGAUGUGCCCUUCGGGGGAAAGAUUUAUCGCCAUUGGAGCGGCCCGCGUCUGAUUAGCUAGUUGGUGAGGUAAAGGCUCACCAAAGCGACGAUCAGUAGCUGGUCUGAGAGGAUGAUCAGCCACAUUGGGACUGAGACACGGCCCAAACUCCUACGGGAGGCAGCAGUGGGGAAUCUUGCGCAAUGGGCGAAAGCCUGACGCAGCCAUGCCGCGUGAAUGAUGAAGGUCUUAGGAUUGUAAAAUUCUUUCACCGGGGACGAUAAUGACGGUACCCGGAGAAGAAGCCCCGGCUAACUUCGUGCCAGCAGCCGCGGUAAU
RNAcentral lists this ribosomal RNA (450 nucleotides) under uncultured bacterium. Its description in RNAcentral is "bacterial SSU rRNA". It matches the Rfam family "Bacterial small subunit ribosomal RNA", at positions 29 to 524 of the family's 1533-position model. The record is from RNAcentral.